RNAcentral lists this ribosomal RNA (440 nucleotides) under Limnogonus nigrescens. RNAcentral describes it as "partial 16S large subunit ribosomal RNA". Lineage: Eukaryota; Metazoa; Arthropoda; Insecta; Hemiptera; Gerridae. The record is from RNAcentral.
GGUCUUUAGUUUUUUAUUUAAGAUCAGGCCUGCCCAUUGAUUUGAAAUAUUAAAAGGCUGCGGUAUUUUAACUGUACGAAGGUAGCAUAAUCAUUUGUCUUUUAAUUGGAGGCUAGAAUGAAUGGUUUGAUGAGAAAUAUUCUUUCUUUUUCUAAUUUAUAUUAAUUUAAUUUUUUAGUUAAAAAGCUAAAAUUUUUUUAUAGGACGAGAAGACCCUAUAGAAGUUUACUAUAUUAAUAAUUUUUUAUCUUUUGCUUUUGAUAUAUUUUUUUAAAUUGUAUAGUUUUGUUGGGGUGACAUUAAAAUUAUUUUAACUUUUAAUAUUCUUUCCAUUAAUUUAUGUUUUUUUGAUCCAGUUUUAUUGAUUAAAAGUUUAACUUACCUUAGGGAUAACAGCGUAAUUUUUUCGGAGAGUUCUUAUUGAUGAAUAAAGUUUGCGA